AGAGUUUGAUCCUGGCUCAGAAUCAACGCUGGCGGCGUGCCUAACACAUGCAAGUCGAACGAGAAAGUGGGGGCAACUCCAUGAGUAAAGUGGCAGACGGGUGAGUAACACGUGAACAACCUACCCUCGAGUGGGGAAUAACACCGCGAAAGCGGUGCUAAUGCCGCAUAAUAUCUCCGGGUUGCAUGAUCUGGAGAUCAAAAGCGAAAGUUGCUUGAGGAGGGGUUCGCGCCUGAUUAGCUAGUUGGUGAGGUAACGGCCCACCAAGGCAACGAUCAGUAGCCGGCCUGAGAGGGCGAACGGCCACACUGGAACUGAGACACGGUCCAGACUCCUACGGGAGGCAGCAGUGGGGAAUUUUGCGCAAUGGGCGAAAGCCUGACGCAGCAACGCCGCGUGGAGGAUGAAGGCCUUCGGGUCGUAAACUCCUGUCAGUGGGGACGAAUGCCUCGCAAGAGGUUUGACUGUACCCGCUGAGGAAGCCACGGCUAACUCCGUGCCAGCAGCCGCGGUAAUACGGAGGUGGCAAGCGUUGUUCGGAAUUACUGGGCGUAAAGGGCGCGUAGGCGGCUUGGCAAGUCAGAUGUGAAAGCCCCGGGCUUAACUCGGGAAUUGCAUCUGAAACUGCUUUGCUUGAGUCCUGGAUGGGAUAGUGGAAUUCCCAGUGUAGCGGUGAAAUGCGUAGAUAUUGGGAGGAACACCUGCGGCGAAGGCGGCUAUCUGGACAGUGACUGACGCUGAGGCGCGAAAGCUAGGGGAGCGAACGGGAUUAGAUACCCCGGUAGUCCUAGCUGUAAACG
RNAcentral lists this ribosomal RNA (800 nucleotides) under uncultured bacterium. Its description in RNAcentral is "bacterial SSU rRNA". It matches the Rfam family "Bacterial small subunit ribosomal RNA", at positions 8 to 808 of the family's 1533-position model. The record is from RNAcentral.